CUGAGACAGACGCUGAGGCGGGUAGGAGGAGCCCGAGCCGUAAGGGAAGCCGUGAUGAGGGCCGUGUUGACGUGGAGAGAUAAAGCCGAGCACUGUAUAAAUGACAUCGCAUUUAAGCCUGAUGGAACUCAACUGAUUUUGGCUGCCGGAAGCAGAUUACUGGUUUAUGACACCUCUGAUGGCACCUUACUUCAGCCCCUCAAGGGACACAAAGACACUGUGUACUGUGUGGCAUAUGCGAAGGAUGGCAAGCGCUUUGCUUCUGGAUCAGGA
RNAcentral lists this long non-coding RNA (273 nucleotides) under Pan troglodytes (chimpanzee). RNAcentral describes it as "long non-coding RNA NONPTRT011583". Lineage: Eukaryota; Metazoa; Chordata; Mammalia; Primates; Hominidae. The record is from RNAcentral.